Molecule: long non-coding RNA, 2633 nt
Organism: Oncorhynchus keta (chum salmon)
Lineage: Eukaryota; Metazoa; Chordata; Actinopteri; Salmoniformes; Salmonidae
Exons: 3
Source: RefSeq, a predicted model, not a curated record
AAGAACACCAUGGACCACUGUAGUGAUGGCAGGUUUUACAGCAAGAACACUGUGGACCACUGUAGUGAUGGCAGGUUUUACAGCAAGAACACUGUGGACCACUGUAGUGAUGGCAGGUUUUACAGCAAGAACACUGUGGACCACUGUAGUGAUGGCAGGUUUUACAGCAAGAACACUGUGGACCACUGUAGUGAUGGCAGGUUUUACAGCAAGAACACUGUGGACCACUGUAGUGAUGGCAGGUUUUACAGCAAGAACACUGUGGACCACUGUAGUGAUGGCAGGUUUUACAGCAAGAACACUGUGGACCACUGUAGUGAUGGCAGGUUUUACAGCAAGAACACUGUGGACCACUGUAGUGAUGGCAGGUUUUACAGCAAGAACACUGUGGACCACUGUAGUGAUGGCAGGUUUUACAGCAAGAACAAUGUGGACCACUGUAGUGAUGGCAGGUUUUACAGCAAGAACACUGUGGACCACUGUAGUGAGGGCAGGUUUUACAGCAAGAACACCAUGUUGUGGGGGUGCUUUGCUGCAGGAGGGACUGGUGCACUUCACAAAAUAGAUGGCAUCAUGAGGAAGGACAAUUAUGUGGAUAUAUUGAAGCAACAUCUCAAAACAUCAGUCAGGACGUUAAAGCUUGGUCGCAAAUGGGUCUUUCAAAUGGACAAUGACCCCAAGCAUAAUUCCAAAGUUGUGGCAAAAUGACAACAAAGUCAAGGUGUUGGAGUGGCCAUCACAAAGCCCUGACCUCAAUCCUAUAGAAAAUGACUGGGCAGAAUUGAAAGAGCAUGUGCAAGCAAGGAGGCCUACAAACCUGACUCAGUUACACCAGCUCUGUCAGGAGGAAUGAGCCAAAAUUCACCCAACUUAUUGUCGGAAGCUUGUGGAAGGCAACCCGAAACGUUUGACCCAAGUUAAACAAUUGAAAGGUAAUGCUUCCAAAUACUAAUUGAGUGUGUAUGUAAACUUCUGACCCACUGGGAAUGUGAUGAAUGAAAUACAAUUUGAAAUAAAUCACUCUCUACUAUUAUUCUGACAUUUAACAUUCUUAAAAUAAAGUGGUGAUCCUAACUGACCUAAGACAGGGAAUUUUUACUAUGAUUAAAUGUCAGGAAUUGUGAAAAACUGAGUUUAAAUGUAUUUGGCUAAGGUGUAUGUAAACCUCCGACUUCAACUGUAUAUAAACUCAAUUCUGGGUUAAUUUAGUUGGUGUAUACAUACACAUUACUGGGGCGGCAGGUAGCAUAGUGGUUAGAGAGUUGGGCCAGUAACCAGCAGGUAGCCUAGUGGUUAGAGCGUUGGGCCAAUAACCAGCAGGUAACCUAGUGGUUAGAGCGUUGGGCCAGUAACCAGCAGGUAGCCUAGUGGUUAGUGUUGGGCCAAUAACCAGCAGGUAACCUAGUGGUUAGAGCGUUGGGCCAGUAACCAGCAGGUAGCCUAGUGGUUAGAGUGUUGGGCCAGUAACCAGCAGGUAGCCUAGUGGUUAGAGCGUUGGACCAGUAACCAGCAGGUAGCCUAGUGGUUAGAGCGUUGGGCCAGUAACCAGCAGGUAGCCUAGUGGUUAGAGCGUUGGACCAGUAACCAGCAGGUAGCCUAGUGGUUAGAGCGUUGGGCCAGUAACCAGCAGGUAGCCUAGUGGUUAGAGUGUUGGGCCAGUAACCAGCAGGUAGCCUAGUGGUUAGAGUGUUGGGCCAGUAACCAGCAGGUAGCCUAGUGGUUAGAGCGUUGGACCAGUAACCAACAGGUAGCCUAGUGGUUAGAGCGUUGGGCCAGUAACCAGCAGGUAGCCUAGUGGUUAGAGUGUUGGGCCAGUAAACAGCAGGUAGCCUAGUGGUUAGAGCGUUGGACCAGUAACCAGCAGGUAGCCUAGUGGUUAGAGUGUUGGGCCAGUAAUCAGCAGGUAGCCUAGUGGUUAGAGUGUUGGACUAGUAACCAGCAGGUAGCCUAGUGGUUAGAGUGUUGGACUAGUAACCAGCAGGUAGCCUAGUGGUUAGAGUGUUGGACUAGUAACCAGCAGGUAGCCUAGUGGUUAGAGUGUUGGACUAGUAACCAGCAGGUAACCUAGUGGUUAGAGUGUUGGACUAGUAACCAGCAGGUAGCCUAGUGGUUAGAGUGUUGGACUAGUAACCAGCAGGUAACCUAGUGGUUAGAGUGUUGGACUAGUAACCAGCAGGUAGCCUAGUGGUUAGAGUGUUGGACUAGUAACCAGCAGGUAGCCUAGUGGUUAGAGUGUUGGACUAGUAACCAGCAGGUAGCCUAGUGGUUAGAGUGUUGGACUAGUAACCAGCAGGUAGCCUAGUGGUUAGAGUGUUGGACUAGUAACCAGCAGGUAGCCUAGUGGUUAGAGUGUUGGACUAGUAACCAGCAGGUAGCCUAGUGGUUAGAGUGUUGGACUAGUAACCAGCAGGUAACCUAGUGGUUAGAGUGUUGGACUAGUAACCAGCAGGUAGCCUAGUGGUUAGAGUGUUGGACUAGUAACCAGCAGGUAGCCUAGUGGUUAGAGUGUUGGACUAGUAACCAGCAGGUAACCUAGUGGUUAGAGUGUUGGACUAGUAACCAGCAGGUAGCCUAGUGGUUAGAGUGUUGGACUAGUAACCAGCAGGUAACCUAGUGGUUAGAGUGUUGGACUA